Molecule: ribosomal RNA, 253 nt
Filed under: uncultured bacterium
Lineage: Bacteria
Description: partial 16S ribosomal RNA
Rfam family: Bacterial small subunit ribosomal RNA
Source: RNAcentral
UACGUAGGUGGCAAGCGAUACUCGGAAUCACUAGGCGUAAAGCGCAGGUAGGCGGUUCGGUAAGUCUUUUGUGAAAGCUCCCGGCUCAACUGGGAGAGGUCAAGGGAAACUACCGGACUAGAGUGUGGUAGGGGAUACUGGAAUUCCUGGUGUAGCGGUGAAAUGCGUAGAUAUCAGGAGGAACACCUAUGGCGAAAGCAGGUAUCUGGGCCAUCACUGACGCUGAGCUGCGAAAGCUAGGGGAGCAAACAGG